GAUGAACGCUGGCGGCGUGCCUAAUACAUGCAAGUCGAGCGAACAGAUAAGGGGCUUGCUCCUUUGACGUUAGCGGCGGACGGGUGAGUAACACGUGGAUAACCUACCUAUAAGACUGGGAUAACUUCGGGAAACCGGAGCUAAUACCGGAUAACAUAUUGAACCGCAUGGUUCAAUAGUGAAAGGCGGCUUUGCUGUCACUUAUAGAUGGAUCCGCGCCGUAUUAGCUAGUUGGUAAGGUAACGGCUUACCAAGGCAACGAUACGUAGCCGACCUGAGAGGGUGAUCGGCCACACUGGAACUGAGACACGGUCCAGACUCCUACGGGAGGCAGCAGUAGGGAAUCUUCCGCAAUGGGCGAAAGCCUGACGGAGCAACGCCGCGUGAGUGAUGAAGGUCUUCGGAUCGUAAAACUCUGUUAUCAGGGAAGAACAAAUGUGUAAGUAACUGUGCACAUCUUGACGGUACCUGAUCAGAAAGCCACGGCUAACUACGUG
RNAcentral lists this ribosomal RNA (497 nucleotides) under uncultured bacterium. RNAcentral describes it as "partial 16S ribosomal RNA". It matches the Rfam family "Bacterial small subunit ribosomal RNA", at positions 28 to 507 of the family's 1533-position model. The record is from RNAcentral.